GUCUUUUAGUUAAAAAUUUAAAGUCUGACCUGCCCACUGAUAAUUAUUAAAGGGCCGCGGUAUUUUGACUGUGCAAAGGUAGCAUAAUCAUUUGUCUCUUAAUUGGAGGCUGGAAUGAAUGGUCGAAUGAAAUAUUAACUGUCUCAUUAUUAAAAUAAUAAAAAUUUAGCUUUUAAGUUAAAAGGCUUAAAUUAAUUUAAAGGACGAGAAGACCCUAUAGAUCUUUAUAUUAUUAAAUUAUUUAUAAUAUUGAAUAUAAAUAAAUAAAAAAUUUAAUAAUAUUUUAUUGGGGUGAUAGGAAAAUUAAAUAAACUUUUUUUAAUUAUCAACAUUUAUUUAUGAAUAAUUGAUCCAUUUUUAGUGAUUAAAAAAUUAAGUUACCUUAGGGAUAACAGCGUAAUUUUUUUAAAGAGUUCUUAUCGAUAAAAAAGAUUGCGACCUCGAUGUUGAAUUAAAGGUUAUUUCUAGAUGUAGAAGUUUAGAGUUUAGGUCUGUUCGACCUUUGAAUCUUU
Molecule: ribosomal RNA, 512 nt
Filed under: Ceraeochrysa dislepis
Lineage: Eukaryota; Metazoa; Arthropoda; Insecta; Neuroptera; Chrysopidae
Also listed under: 1 other name
Description: partial 16S ribosomal RNA
Rfam family: Bacterial large subunit ribosomal RNA
Source: RNAcentral